RNAcentral lists this transfer RNA (90 nucleotides) under Vogesella fluminis. RNAcentral's name for it is "tRNA-Gly". Lineage: Bacteria; Pseudomonadati; Pseudomonadota; Betaproteobacteria; Neisseriales; Chromobacteriaceae. The record is from RNAcentral.
GUUCGCCAAGGUUGGCCGCAACCGCGGCGCCCGCCGCGCGCAGGCUGUCGGCCCUGGCGGCGGAGCGGUUCCAUACCGUCAGCGGAUGCC